UUUAAAGUCUGACCUGCCCUAUGAUAAAAUAUAUUUAUUAAAUGGCCGCGAUAUUUUGAUCGUGCAAAGGUAGCAUAAUAAUUAGUUUCUUAAUUGGGAACUGGAAUGAAAGGUCGAACGAGAAAAUUACUGUCUCAAUUUAAUUUAAAUUAGAAUUUUAUUUUUAAGUAAAAAAGCUUAAAUAAUUUUUAAAGACGAGAAGACCCUAUAGAGUUUUAUAUUUAUUGUAAUUAAUUUUAUUUUUAGUAUUUAAAUUUAAUAAUUUAUGUUAAGUAUUUGGUUGGGGUGAUUAAAAAAUUUAAUUAACUUUUUUUGAUAGAUAAACAUUGAUAUAUGAUUAUUUGAUCCAUAAAUUAUGAUUAAAAGAUUAAAUUACCUUAGGGAUAACAGCGUAAUUUUUUUUAAGAGUUCUUAUCGAAAAAAAAGUUUGCGACCUCGAUGUUGGAUUAAAAUUAAUUUUUGGUGUAGAAGCUAAAAAUAUUAGGUCUGUUCGACCUUUAAAAUUUUACAUGAUCUGAGUUUAAACCGGUGUAAGCCAGGUUGGUUUCUAUCUUAAAAAAAUUAAAAUAUUUUAGUACGAAAGGAUCAAAUAUUUAUAAUAAUUAUUAGUUUAGGAAUUUUAAUAAUUUUAAAA
This 634-nucleotide ribosomal RNA is filed under the name Onthophagus sp. BM670919. RNAcentral's name for it is "partial 16S ribosomal RNA". The stretch from base 383 to 542 matches the Rfam family "Bacterial large subunit ribosomal RNA", at positions 2473 to 2632 of the family's 2925-position model. Lineage: Eukaryota; Metazoa; Arthropoda; Insecta; Coleoptera; Scarabaeidae. The record is from RNAcentral.